ACAAAAGAUCCAACAUUCUAAUAAAUUUUUUUAAUUUAAAAAAUUAAAACUUUACAAAAAGUAAAAAUACUUUUAUUAAAAAGAAAGACGACAAGACCCUAUUGAACUUUACUUCAGUUUUACUGGGGUAGUAAGUUAAUUAUAAUUUUAAUUUAAAUUUUUCAAAAAAUAUCCUUUAUAAUAGAAUAAACCAGUUACCAUAGGGAUAACAGCGCAAUUAUUUUUUUAAGCUCUUAUAUAAAAAAUAGUUUACGACCUCGAUGUUGAAUUAAUAGCCUAAUUAAGGUAAUCCUUAAAAAAGGAAGUCUGUUCGACUUUUAAAAAAUUACAUGAUUUGAGUUCAGACCGGUGUAAACCAGGUCGGUUUCUAUCUUCUAAUCAGUUUUAUACAGUACGAAAGGACCUAUAAAUAUAAUAUUUAUUAAUUAAUUGGCAGAAAAAUGCAUUAGAAUUAGAAUCUAAUUAAACUAAU
RNAcentral lists this ribosomal RNA (472 nucleotides) under Talavera minuta. RNAcentral describes it as "partial 16S ribosomal RNA". The stretch from base 82 to 376 matches the Rfam family "Bacterial large subunit ribosomal RNA", at positions 2074 to 2646 of the family's 2925-position model. Lineage: Eukaryota; Metazoa; Arthropoda; Arachnida; Araneae; Salticidae. The record is from RNAcentral.